UACGUAGGGUGCAAGCGUUAAUCGGAAUUACUGGGCGUAAAGCGUGCGCAGGCGGUUAUGCAAGACAGAUGUGAAAUCCCCGGGCUCAACCUGGGACCUGCAUUUGUGACUGCAUCGCUAGAGUACGGUAGAGGGGGAUGGAAUUCCGCGUGUAGCAGUGAAAUGCGUAGAUAUGCGGAGGAACACCGAUGGCGAAGGCAAUCCCCUGGACCUGUACUGACGCUCAUGCACGAAAGCGUGGGGAGCAAACAGG
This 253-nucleotide ribosomal RNA is filed under the name uncultured bacterium. Its description in RNAcentral is "partial 16S ribosomal RNA". It matches the Rfam family "Bacterial small subunit ribosomal RNA", at positions 524 to 776 of the family's 1533-position model. The record is from RNAcentral.